Molecule: ribosomal RNA, 294 nt
Filed under: Escherichia coli
Lineage: Bacteria; Pseudomonadati; Pseudomonadota; Gammaproteobacteria; Enterobacterales; Enterobacteriaceae
Also listed under: 1 other name
Description: partial 23S ribosomal RNA
Rfam family: Bacterial large subunit ribosomal RNA
Source: RNAcentral
CGGCGGUGUUUGGCACCUCGAUGUCGGCUCAUCACAUCCUGGGGCUGAAGUAGGUCCCAAGGGUAUGGCUGUUCGCCAUUUAAAGUGGUACGCGAGCUGGGUUUAGAACGUCGUGAGACAGUUCGGUCCCUAUCUGCCGUGGGCGCUGGAGAACUGAGGGGGGCUGCUCCUAGUACGAGAGGACCGGAGUGGACGCAUCACUGGUGUUCGGGUUGUCAUGCCAAUGGCACUGCCCGGUAGCUAAAUGCGGAAGAGAUAAGUGCUGAAAGCAUCUAAGCACGAAACUUGCCCCGA